UCAGACAAUAUGCAUUUUCCUCACUUUGGCAGGAAGAAGGAAAACAAAGUAUUACUUAAAUGGAGAAUGCAUCUCGGAAUUCUGCAGUCAAAGUCUUCUAGUGCACCAGUUGGAUGCAAAUAUAUUGAAGACAGCUUACAGGAUCGUUUCUAGAUUGAUACCUGGAAUAAUGAGGAAAAGUGGACAGACUUGGGCUAGUUUCUACUGGAGUUUAAAAGAGUGACGGGUGACCUGAUUGAAGAAUACCAGAUCCUGAAUGGACGUGACAAGGUGGAUGUGGGGUUCAAGAUGCGUCAUACCUGGAGCUGGGAGUCAAUUCUAUCAAGUCAACACCGAGUUGGGUAUCUAAGGUGGAACAUGCGUCAUUUUAACCUACGUCUCCGAUUAAGACUCUAGACAUGCACCAGCACAAUUCCAUCAUUCUGUUCUUCCAAAACUGAAAGCAAUAAACAGUACGGUCUAAGAUUUCACACUCACGUAUGGUGAUAUUGCUGCUGCGAAGGACAGUAUUUUCCUUCCACAUCAGAACAAAAGCUCCUCCUACAUUUCCGCAUGAACCUGGUUUACUGGAACUGUAAACCUGCCAGGUCUCACUUGUUUCCAGCGACAUUCACAGAGAGGGCGAGAAAUUUUUAAAAAAAAGGCUAACCUUUCUCUGUGCCAUGUUACCAAUCAAGAAAAAUACCCCAAACUCGAUUCAUCUCGUUAGUUUUGUAAUCUGUCACCGUUUCCGAUGAUCUGACCAUAGCAAUCGUGGAACUCCCAUCAUGUUCAAUCUUGAAUUAGGUACACCUUAAAUGACGUGACAGAACAUUCCUGAAGAAUCACCUUUGACUGUAGACUUGACUUGUACACACCAAUAUCCCACCGCUAUUACUCUCAACUAUUCUCUGCUCAACUCCCCCCAGCUUUCAGAGGAAGCAAUCCCAUCAGCUUGAGAGUUAAGGAGCCAAUGUGAUUAGGUAUUUUACUCUCAUUAAUGCAUAGCUUUUAAAAGCCAUCAACCAGAGGCAGAAUGCAUUUUAGCAGCUAUGACAAAAGGGCCCCUCUUGCAAAAGUGCAGCAAAGCUCAAUACCAAGAGAAGAAAAUCCAGCUCAACAACCAACUGCUAGGCCUAUUGCAAGCAGAGCCAACCUAACUGGGGAUCAGGAAGAAGAAUAAAGAGUCCAUGGCCCUUCUACUCACCUACCUGUGACCUUGAUGCCAGUAGAAUGUAAAAAAAAGGUGAGCCCACGAGGUGUUAUCUUUUCUGUAGGCUGCACUUUGGGCUGUGGGUUGUUAAAGGAAUUUGUAGCUGCUGCAUCCAUACAGACAGACAAACGGUGACUUUAAUACACGAGACAGUUUAGGUAGGAGACCCUGAGUUUCAGGUUUCACGUUCAAGGCUGAAGCUUACUGUAAAUGCCAUUUUAUUUUCAGUUCUCGCAGGUUGAGAGAUGAGUCACAUCCACCUUUAAGGUUGUUGUCUGAAUCACCGAGACACACGAGCUGCCACACGUUUUUAUUUAUGAACGCCUGUCUUGCCACAGAUCGUCUUACAGAUUCUGCUGCCAUCAGUUUCUUCAAAUUAAAAAGGAGCAGAGGGGGGUGGGUGGGUGGGUGGGUAGGAAUGACAGAAUACACCGCUACCCAGCAGUCAGCGUCAGUUGCCGAACUUGGCUUUAGGAUCUUAGCUGGACAGUCCAAAAUGGGAGAGAAAAAGGGAUGAUGCACCAAACACAGGCCCUGCUACACUCCUGGGGCAUCCCUGCAGCUAUUCUCACAGUGAAGCAGGUUACUUUUUUUUUAUUGCCUUGGAGAGAGAGGCUAUUGCAAGGAUUUAACAGAACCAACCUAUAAAUUAAUGCAGGAAUCUCAAAGAGAGAAAAAAAAAGAGGAGCAGUCAGUCAUUCGGCUUUCUGAGCCUGCUCCACUAUUCAAUAUGAUCCUGGCUGAUCAUCUCUCUCAAUUCCCUGCUCCCGCUUUCGCCCCAUACCCUUGAAUCGCUUCAGCCCUAUUAAAUAUAUCUAACAUCUUCUUGAAAACAUUCGAUGUUGUGGCAGAGAAUUCCACAGGCUCUCCACGGUCUGGGUGAAGAAACCUCUCCUACCCUGUAUCUUUAGACUAUGACCCCUGGUUCUAGACUACCCGGUCAUUGGGAACAUCCUGCAUUUACCCUGUCUACUCCUGCCUCAAUAUAGUAUCACAGAAUCCUGACAUUGUGGAAAGAGGCCAUUCAGCCCAAUGAGUCUGCAUUGACCCUUUUGAAGAGGAUCCCACCCAAACCCAGUUCCCCCACCCCAUCCCUGUAACCCCAUAUCUAUCCACGUUAACCCACUCAGCCUGUACAUUCCUGAACACCACGGGCAAUUUCCCAUGGCCGAUCCACUUAACUUCCACAUCUUCAUACUGUGGGAAGAAACCGGAGCACCUGGAGGAAACCCACGCAGACACAGGGAGAACGUGCAAACUCCACACAGACAGUCACCCAAAGGUGGAAUUGAACCAGGGUCCCUGGCGCUGAGAGGCAGCAGUGCUAACCACUGAGCCACCAUGCCACCCUUGCUAGAAUUUGAGGUUUCUAUGAGAUUCCCCUCAUUCGUCUAAACUCCAAUGAAUAAAGUCUUAACCGAUCUAUUCUCUCUUCAUACUUUAGACCAGCCAUCCCAGGAAUCAGUCUGAUAAAUCUUCAUUGCACUCCCUCUAUAGUCAGAACAUCCUUCCUCAAAGGGAGGCCAAAACUGCACACUAUACUCCAGGUAUAGUUUCACCAAGGCCCUAAGACAUCCCUGCUCCUGUACUUGAAUCCCCUCACUAUGAAGGCCAACAUACCCUUUGCCAUCCUCACCACCUGCUACCUUAUUUUCAGUAAUUGUACAAGGACACCCAGGUCUUGUUAUACCUCCCCCUCUUCCAAUCUACUGCCAUUCAGAUAAUUAUCUGCCGUCCUGUUUUUUCCUUACUACUGAGUAGAUAACCGCACGUUUAUCCAUAUUACAUUUUAGCUGCCAUGCAUUUGCCAACUCACUCAACUUGUCCUAAAUCAGACUGAAGCACCUCUGUGUUCACCUCAGCUCACCCUCCCACCCAGAUCUGUGUUAUCUCCAAGUUUUCAGACCACUAUAUUUAGUUCCCUCAUCCAAAUGAAUGUGAAUAGUUGGGAGUCUAACCACUGAUCCCCGUGGUAUCCCACUAGUCACUGUCUGCCACUUGGAAAAAGACCCAUUUAUUCCUACGCUGUUUCCUGUCUACCAACCAGUUCUCAGUCCAUGUCAACAAUCCCCAUGUACUUUAAAUUUUACACACUGACAAUGUACAUGGAGCUGAAAUGUAGAGUGAAUUGUUCCUUGGGUCCUUUGUAUCACAAGAACAGAACUGAAUGUGAAUUUGCACUCUUCCGGUUUAUAACAUACAUCUUUUUCUUUGCCAUCGAUGAGCUGCUGCCAGUUCGAUGCUACCCAAGGCCACUUUCAUCCCCUUCAGGAGUUUAGUGCCUGGCACUGAAUCAUGGAACAUCACCAGCAACCAGCAUGUUAAAUGUGUUCCCCUUACAGCCAGCACACUCCUUGCAAGUAUGGCCUUUAGAAAAAUAACUCAAAAGGGACAAAACUCUGUUCUCUCUUGUUAGCUAAGCGACUGGAAUCCAAUCAAGUUGGCGUCUGUGUUCAGUGACACUUGCAAUCCACAUAUUUGCUGAAGGAGCGUUUUUAGCACAUUGCAGAAGGCAUUUCAGGUGGGAAGGAGCCUCGGAGGAGGUGAAAAGGAACAUGUCAAGGACCAGCAGAAUUUGCCACUUCUGUAGGACACUGAAAGUUGGACUUGAUAAGUAGAUGCAGGGGACUGGAUGAAUCUGUGCUUGUGCAAGGAAGAUGUCGGGCAGUAGUUACAAACAAGGACUGGUCACAUCCAGUCCCACAUUGUGAUUAAAAGGUUUAUUGGAGAGAACACGGGUACCUGCUACACUGUUGAAACCCGAUAUCCUUCAGAGGCAAUGAGUGCCAGCUGAGGGAAGACCAAGAGGACUUCACACAAGCAUACCCUUGAGGAAUAAUAAAAAUACACCAACAAGCUGUGUCAGUUGGCAGAGUCUGGUAACCAGGCAGCCUACUGCACUGCACACUCGUUACAAAUUUAAAAACAGCUCCCAUGCCAGUCUAAAUCUCAUGAAAUCUGGUGUUUGUUUUGAAGCAUCUUGCCCAAUCCUACAGCCCUGUUCAUAUUCCACACUGUUUAGUAUUCCUCUUUGUUUCAGAAAAUGAUCUUAAAAUGAUUCAAAAUAAACGAUGAACUUCUUCAAAAAUGCAUUAAAAUUUAAUAAUUGUAA
Rhincodon typus (whale shark) is the source of this 4304-nucleotide long non-coding RNA. RefSeq lists it as uncharacterized. The transcript is spliced from 3 exons. NCBI's taxonomy places the organism in Eukaryota, Metazoa, Chordata, Chondrichthyes, Orectolobiformes, Rhincodontidae. The record is from RefSeq and is a predicted model, not a curated record.